UAAUACGUAGGGGGCAAGCGUUGUCCGGAAUCAUUGGGCGUAAAGCGCGCGCAGGCGGUUUCUUAAGUCUGGUGUCUAAGUGCGGGGCUCAACCCCGUGAUGCACUGGAAACUGGGAGACUUGAGUGCAGAAGAGGAGAGCGGAAUUCCACGUGUAGCGGUGAAAUGCGUAGAGAUGUGGAGGAACACCAGUGGCGAAGGCGGCUCUCUGGACUGUAACUGACGCUGAGGCGCGAAAGCGUGGGGAGCAAACAGGAUUAGAUACCCUGGUAGUCCACGCCGUAAACGAUGAGUGCUAGGUGUUGGGGGGGUCCACCCCUCGGUGCCGAAGUAAACACAUUAAGCACUCCGCCUGGGGAGUACGGUCGCAAGACUGAA
RNAcentral lists this ribosomal RNA (377 nucleotides) under uncultured bacterium. RNAcentral describes it as "bacterial SSU rRNA". It matches the Rfam family "Bacterial small subunit ribosomal RNA", at positions 521 to 898 of the family's 1533-position model. The record is from RNAcentral.